AUGACAGAAUUCCUCUUUAAUAUCUGGAGAAAGCCCAGACGUGAAACAAUGCUUUAGCAUCGGUGGGGACAUCUCGGUGGUUCGAUUUACAAGCUUCUCAAACUCUGAGAGAUAUUCACGAACAGAGAAAGUUAUUUACAAUUUAGCAAGCAAACUCUCUAGUGACUCUAGGGAUUUUGCUCCAAAACAAGUCACAAAAGCUUUCAUAAAGUGAUCCCAGCCCCAUAACUGGUGAUUUCGGUACAUCCAUUGAUACCAAUCUUUGGCAUCGCCUUCAAGAAAGAAGGAGCAGAGAUUAAUACAAUAUUCGUCGAAAACAGCAUAGGUUUUGAAAUAUUGAUUGGCUUGGAAUAUCCAACUCUCAGCAGUGGUACCAUCACACUUUGGAAAAUCAAUCAAAGCUGGUUUGUCUCUACGAAAAUGAUUAAAGGGUUGUUGGGUAAGAAAAAGUUGGGUGUGUGGAGGAUUGAAGGUAUAAACUGGUUGUUGUGGCGUGGGAUGUUAUAGAAAAAAUAGUUUGUGGCUGUGGCGUUGAAUAUUGACCCAACACCGAAGAAGAAGGGUUAGCUAUGGGUGGCGUCAUCGGUAGAAGGAGCUCUCGGAGAAGCCCUUUGUAGAACAAGCUCUUGAAGGGUACUGUUAAUAGGUUCCAGAGCUUUGGUGUGAGCGGCUGACUCUUCUUGGAGUUGUUUCACAGCUUCAUCCAAGGAUCGUGACCGUGUGUUGUGUGUACCAUCGCCCAUUUGUAGAAGGAAGAUCAAUGAAAGGACCAAAUAGAACAAUCAAAACUUAGAUAAAUUGAUAAAUUGAUUUCCAGGCCACAUAAGGGAUCUGUCCUCAAAUUCUUGGAAUAAAAUAGAGCUAAAAAAAGGAAAAAUAGAAAAAGGGAGGUUCCAAAUCUACCAUUCUAAGAAACAAAAAGAUAAGCAAG
Molecule: long non-coding RNA, 931 nt
Filed under: Capsicum annuum
Lineage: Eukaryota; Viridiplantae; Streptophyta; Magnoliopsida; Solanales; Solanaceae
Description: long non-coding RNA (CANN_LNC005778)
Source: RNAcentral